RNAcentral lists this ribosomal RNA (374 nucleotides) under uncultured bacterium. Its description in RNAcentral is "bacterial SSU rRNA". It matches the Rfam family "Archaeal small subunit ribosomal RNA", at positions 477 to 851 of the family's 1478-position model. The record is from RNAcentral.
CAGCUCUCCGAGUGGUAGGGAUGAUUAUUGGGCCUGAAGCGUCCGUAGCUGGCCUUUCAAGUCUCUUGUUAAAUCCAGCGAUUCAAUCGUUGGACUGCAGGAGAUACUGCAAGGCUAGGAGGCGAGAGAAGCCGACGGUAUUCUCGGGGUAGGGGUAAAAUCCUAUAAUCCCGGGAAGACCACCAGUGGCGAAGGCGGUCGGCUAGCGCGCGCUCGACGGUGAGGGACGAAAGCUGGGGGAGCGAACCGGAUUAGAUACCCGGGUAGUCCCAGCUGUAAACGAUGCGGGCUAGGUGUUGAAGCGGCCACGAGCCGCUUCAGUGCCGCAGGGAAGCCAUUAAGCCCGCCGCCUGGGGAGUACGGCCGCAAGGCUG